CAAGCUCCACCUUCAGGCAGAAACAGGAAACUAUUUCUCUGCACAGCUUCAGUAAAGAUCAGACAUUAUGUUGGAUAUUUGUACCAAACUAAGAACUAAAUAAGAAGAAGACAGUGAAACAUCGUCAUUCUGCUGUUUGUUCUGUUUCCUGUUCUGUCUGAAGUCUGACAUCAUGUGACUUCCUGGGAACAGACCUGAAGCUUCGUCACUGGAGUUUAAUGACUUCCAGCACUGUUCACUUUUUCCUCCCGUCUCUUUCUGCUUCACAGAUUCUUUUGUAAAACAGUUUUCACUGAACGACAUCAACUUGUGUUUACUGGUUUGGGGGUUUUUUUAUUGGAUAUUUACACCAAACUACCAGUGAGAUCUGAGAAAGAAGAAGACGGUAAAAUGUCUGCUGGAACAUCUGAGUUAUUCUGUCUGAUCUGUUUCCUGGUCUGUUCCUGUACAGGUGAGUUAUAAUGUUCAUUUAUUAUAAUAUUCAUUAAUUCUACCUCUGAUGGACUGGACAGGCUCUUAUUUUGUAGGAAUCAAUAACUAGAUAUAUUCAUGUUUGUUUUAAGGAUGUAAUAACUUCUACUGACUCAGAGUUUUCUAUGAUUCAAAGUGAGGCAGGGAGACAUGAUGUUUACUUUAGUGAGGACACAGUUGAUAAUAUAAAGUGGAUUCUGUCUGUUCACAUAAUGCUGUGGAGGGUUUGGUUCCAUGAUGUGUUCCAGCACUACUUUAUGCUGACAGAGGAGGUUGGAAGUAAUCAAGACAAGUUGGGACACCUGUAGGAUUCAGUAGCACCAACUUUCAAGGCUUGAUCAACCUCCACUGCUGCACAGCAGUUUUAAGGUGUUAACCCAUUUCUCAUUCCCUGAAAAAGGCCUUUUUGUAUCAUUCUGAAAUGUACGUUAUUUUUCAGUUUUGGGGAAUUUUACCUUCUUUUAACCUCUGGCAGUUCACCACUUACCUUUGGACCACUUCAAGCUCUUCACUGGAUUUGAAUUCCUUGAAUUUCAAUUUUAAAAAAUGGAAAAAAUUGGGGCAUUUUAAACCUUUGUCCUGUAGUGUUUGUGGAAAAAACAUGAUUCCUCUUCAUCAACCUGAUGAAUCCACUGAUGACUAAAACACCAGAAGCAGCAGCUCAGAGUUCAUGGAGGAGUUUAGAGGUUAAACUCUUCUCCUCCGGAUCAACUUUAACUUCUCUGUUGUUUCUUCUUCAGCUCAGAAAAUCAUCACAGCUGAAAAAAUCACAGUUGAUGUCGGACAGAAUGUCACUCUACCAUGUAAAGUUCCCAACAACCAAAGACCCAUUGGGGUUGUAGAGUGGAACAGAUCUGAUCAGGAAACAGGAAACAGGAAAUGUUUUUUCCUCCUGGUAUGGAUGGAUUGAACCAGAGAACCAGCAUCCAUCUUAUCAGGACCGGACAGAUCUGCAGGACAAAGAGAUGAAGGAUGGAGACGUUUCUCUGAUUCUGAAGGAUGUGAUGAUGGAGGACAAUGGAACAUACGAGUGUUAUGUUUAUCAGACGGGAAAGACGAUUGAACUCAUCUGCAACAUCAAACUGGAAGUUCAUCCACCAGGAGACAAGGUUGGAAUCAUUGUAGGAGCAGCAGUGGGUGUGAUAGUUCUUCUUCUUGCUGUGGCUUCUCUUGGUUUUCUGAUCUAUAGACGACACAUGAGGCAGAAUCCAAACCUCCCAGUUCCUCCUGAUGAACCAACAGCUAAACAGAUGUUAUGAAACAAAGACAUGAAAGUUUUUCUGGACAAUGUGUUCCAAAGCUCUGCAUGUUAGAACCUGAUGAAAUGUUGUGGAUGUAAAGUGUUCUGUCAGAUGAGAUCAGAACCACAUAGAAAAGUUCUGAUUGUCCAGAAUGAAGCACAACUGAUGAACAGAACUUUAGACUGAACUUGUUUUAAUGUUUUAUCUGAUGAUGUUCUCAACUGUUUACAGGGUAAAGGUGCAGAUAAUAUUAUGUAUUUUAGAUAUAUUUUAUACUACUCAGUGUUCUGUGAGUUUCAUCUUCAUCCUAUAUUAUGUUUUGUUGUUAAUCUACAGAUAAAUGUAGUCCAGUAGAAUAAUAUUGUUUCCUACUGAACUGUAGUGAAGGUUGAAUAGAAUAAACAGAAUUUAAACUGAUAGAAUGAACUGUUACUUCACAGAAAUGACUGUUUAUAUUAUGACAGACUGUUAAUAAUGAACUUUACAGUAAAUAAUGAACUUUACAGUAAAUAAUAAACUUUACUGCUGCUUUUUCACUUCGUCUUUGAUGCUAAACUGUUUGUCUUAGUUCUUGUCCUCUGUUCAAUGACAAUAAAGUUGAAUCUAAUCAGG
Amphiprion ocellaris (clown anemonefish) is the source of this 2324-nucleotide long non-coding RNA. The record is from Ensembl. NCBI's taxonomy places the organism in Eukaryota, Metazoa, Chordata, Actinopteri, Pomacentridae.